AUGGCUUCCCGUUCAGCCGCGACCGGUGCCCGUGUCACUGCAAGGCGCUUGUCGCCUCGACGACUGCCUCGUCCAUAUAAGCAGCGACGUCCCCAAAGCUCGACCUGGCGCUGGUACCGUUGGUGUGGCCUGUGCCCGAGUUGCUACAGGCCGCGAGCGGGAACUGCGACGGGCUCGCAGACUUGGAUGGGUCUGGCGCAGCAGAAUACGCGACGGGCAUGCUGGAGGUCGCCCGGCAAUGGGUACUGGGGCGCCGACGGGCUCGUGAUCGCCCCUCCACAGCCACGCGUACAAAGUGCAGGGCGGAGCAGACGCGAGCUAGAUGGCGAUGGGCACCGAGGCGGCGGCGUGCUCGUGAUCCCCUCCCAUGCGUGCUUGAGGAGCUAG
Molecule: ribosomal RNA, 387 nt
Filed under: Triticum aestivum (bread wheat)
Lineage: Eukaryota; Viridiplantae; Streptophyta; Magnoliopsida; Poales; Poaceae
Description: partial small subunit ribosomal RNA
Source: RNAcentral